Echinops telfairi (small Madagascar hedgehog) is the source of this 896-nucleotide long non-coding RNA. RefSeq lists it as uncharacterized. NCBI's taxonomy places the organism in Eukaryota, Metazoa, Chordata, Mammalia, Afrosoricida, Tenrecidae. The transcript is spliced from 2 exons. The record is from RefSeq and is a predicted model, not a curated record.
CUACUAACCUCAGGGUCAGUGGUUCAAGCAAACCCAACAGCUCCGUAGACGCUUUCUAUGAAGACCGCGCCAAGAUGACCCUAUGGGGGAGUUGUGCUCUGUAACAUGUGCCAUCACCUCGACUCAGAGUUCACGCUGUAGCACUCUGUGGUCAAAGCACUUAUAUGGAGACAAAGAGGGUCCAGACUUCAACCCAGUGUUGCGAGAUGUAAAUGCAGCUAAUGUUUCCUGGAUGCUUCUUACCCUGAAGCAUUGUCACUCGGAUGAUGCAGUCUGACUUUCAGCCAAAGAAUUCAAGAAUUGCAAAUCUCUAAAUUCAUCUACUCUUCGUUUAUUUUGUUACCAACAUUGUUCAUUUAUGACAACAGUAAAAAAAUACUGAUUGUUUUGUGUAUUAAUAACAUACAUCUGACAGCAAUGACUGUUGAGGUUCGAAGUGAGAGUGGGCUGGCUAUGAUGGUUAAGGUUGUGUUCAUUUGACUAGACAUUGUUCUCAGUGGUUUGGCAGUUAUAUAAUUAUGCAACUUGCCAGUUAUGUAGUAAUGUAAUUAUUCUCUAUUUUGUAAUGUGAUGUGGUCAUCCUCUAUUUUGCAUAAUUUCAAUUUUUGUAUAAUGACCUGAUCUUUGAAACUCAACCAAACUCAGUAGGCAAAGGAUGGGUAUAAAGUUUUCAAGUUCUACAAAUUAACUUUAAGAGAGAUAUUUUUUCAACAGUGAUUAAGUUGUGUGAAUCAAUGUUUCCUUUUUUCUCACAAACCACUAAUGAUUGGUCAUUUUGUCAUGUCACAGAUGAAACCAUUUUAAUUGUUGUGGCAUUUAUACAUGUAUAGCUGUUUCCUGUUGGAUGGAUCCUAUUAAUAUUAUAAUAAUUAAUUUAUAAUAAAUAUGCCUGUGAA